UCACUAAUUCUACGGGCUAUGUCAGCAAC
Molecule: small RNA, 29 nt
Filed under: Bombyx mori (domestic silkworm)
Lineage: Eukaryota; Metazoa; Arthropoda; Insecta; Lepidoptera; Bombycidae
Description: ovarian small RNA-6910
Source: RNAcentral